Non-coding RNA from Lonchura striata (white-rumped munia), 165 nucleotides. NCBI's taxonomy places the organism in Eukaryota, Metazoa, Chordata, Aves, Passeriformes, Estrildidae. The record is from RefSeq and is a predicted model, not a curated record.
GCCCCGCCUGCGGCCGCCGCCCCCCCGAGCAGGUGCUGAACCCUCUGCUGCGAUUGGUGGAGAGCAGGUUCUCGCUCCUGCAGGAGUUCGUGCUCAGUGAUUGGAGCCGGCACGUGGGGCCUGUGCUGCAGGCCCUGAGCAAGUUCUGCCCCCACCUGCGGCACC